GAGAAGCGCUUGCACCUCAAUCUUUCAAGCCAAGAGACUUGUGCUCACACCGAGCCUCUGCCUCAGCUUCCCAUCCCCGAUCCACCAGCCCCGGGGAGUAGAGCUGAACGAAUCCUUUGUCUCUUCCCUCACUCAUCCAGGCCUGGGAAAAGAACCCACAGAAAAAUGAAAACAGAGCCAUCUCAGGCCAGUCGAGACCCUACUGGGUCUGCAACCAGAGGGGAGGGACUUCCUGGAGUCAAGUCCAUUUUGGGCACUCAACAAAACCCCAUUUAAGGCCACCGUCACAACAUCUCCCAGAAGAGGGAUCUCACAGCCUCGACUCUGAUCUUCUUUCCCACCAAUUUCUCUGGGAGAAAAGAACAUCUAUCGACAAAGAGAACUUGACGACCUCUUCUACAGGGUCUCGGCCCAGACCGAAGUCCAAACCGGUUCCUCUGAGUAUCAAACACCGGAGAGUGAGACAGGCUGAAGACACUAAACACCAAAAUGGCCCCACAGAAAUCACCCAUGAAGGAACAAGCAAGCCAAACACACAGAAUGGAUAGGGGAGGUAAAGGAGGGCAACUGCAUGGGAGAUGUUCAAGUGCUUAGUACAAUGCUCUGCACAUAGUAAGCUCUCAAUAAAUAUGA
This is a long non-coding RNA of Tachyglossus aculeatus (Australian echidna), 633 nucleotides long. RefSeq lists it as uncharacterized. The transcript is spliced from 3 exons. NCBI's taxonomy places the organism in Eukaryota, Metazoa, Chordata, Mammalia, Monotremata, Tachyglossidae. The record is from RefSeq and is a predicted model, not a curated record.